Molecule: ribosomal RNA, 379 nt
Filed under: Klebsiella pneumoniae
Lineage: Bacteria; Pseudomonadati; Pseudomonadota; Gammaproteobacteria; Enterobacterales; Enterobacteriaceae
Description: bacterial LSU rRNA
Rfam family: Bacterial large subunit ribosomal RNA
Source: RNAcentral
CCGGUGAUCUAGCCAUGGGCAGGUUGAAGGUUGGGUAACACUAACUGGAGGACCGAACCGACUAAUGUUGAAAAAUUAGCGGAUGACUUGUGGCUGGGGGUGAAAGGCCAAUCAAACCGGGAGAUAGCUGGUUCUCCCCGAAAGCUAUUUAGGUAGCUGCCUCGUGAACUCAUCUUCGGGGUAGAGCACUGUUUCGGCUAGGGGGUCAUCCCGACUUACCAACCGAUGCAAACUACGAAUACCGAAGAAUGUUAUCACGGGAGACACACGGCGGGUGCUAACGUCCGUCGUGAAGAGGGAAACAACCCAGACCGCCAGCUAAGGUCCCAAAGUCAUGGUUAAGUGGGAAACGAUGUGGGAAGGCACAGACAGCCAGGAU